RNAcentral lists this long non-coding RNA (1080 nucleotides) under Mytilus galloprovincialis (Mediterranean mussel). The record is from RNAcentral. Lineage: Eukaryota; Metazoa; Mollusca; Bivalvia; Mytilida; Mytilidae.
CCCUCUUAGAACACAUAGGUACCACAAGAGACAAGAAAACAAUUGAAAAUCAUUUUCUAAAAGGUGCAACGUAUAACAAACGUAUGAGACGCGAAUAAGAAACGAAUAAGUAACAGGGUAACAGUCGAGCGCUGAAACGGGUACAUACGCGCUUAUAGGGUUAAAUCACCCCUUAGAACCCAAAUUUACCACCAGUGACAAGAAAACAAUUGAAAAUCAUUUUUUUAAAUGUGCAACGUAUAACACACGUAUUAUACGCGAAUAAGGAACGAAUAAGUAACAGGGUAUCAGUCGAGCGCUGAAACUGCUACAUACGCGCUGAUAGGGUUAUAUCACCUCUUAGAAACGCAAUCUACCACUAGAAACAAGAAAACAAUUUAAAAUCCUUUUUUUUUAAAAGGUGCAACGUAUACCACGCGUAUUAAAAGCGAUUAAGGAACGAAUAAGUAACAGGGUAUAAACCGAGCGCUGGAACGGGUACAUACGCGCUAAUAGGGUUAUUUCAUCUCUAAGAACACAUAGUUACCGCCAGAGACAAGAACACAAUUGAAAAUCAUUUUCUAAAAGGUGCAACGUAUAAUACGCGUGUUAUAAACAAGGUAUUAGUCAAGCUCCGAAACGAUGUACACCCCGCUAACAUGUUUUAUAGCUGACCAUGCGGUAUGGGCUUUGCUUAUUGUUGAAGGCCGUAUCGUGAUUGACCUAUAGUUGUUAAUUUCUGUGUCAUUUUGGUCUAUUGUGGGGAGUUGUCUCAUUGGCGAUCAUACCACAUCUUCAUUUUUAUACAAGCGCUAAAAGGUGAUUUCACCUCUUCGAACCAAGAACCAGAUCUUCAAACAUACGAAUAUAAAACAUUUAAAAGGUAGAACGUAUAAAAAUCAAAUAAGAAACAAAUAAGUAUCGAACAUAAAGCAACAGGAUCGGUUGAGCACAAACACAUAUAAAUAGGUCAUAAAAAGGUCAUUUUACCUCAACAAAUUUAGAACUAUAACCAGAGAUAAGAAUAUAAACAAUUAAAAAGGGGGAAGGAUAUCAAAAAUCGAAUAAGUAACGAAUAAGGAAUAAGUAAUAAGUAACGAA